AGUGGGGAAUAUUGCACAAUGGACGAAAGUCUGAUGCAGCAACGCCGCGUGGAGGAUGACACAUUUCGGUGCGUAAACUCCUUUUAUAGGUCAAGAUAAUGACGGUAGCCUAUGAAUAAGCGCCGGCUAACUCCGUGCCAGCAGCCGCGGUAAUACGGAGGGCGCAAGCGUUACUCGGAAUCACUGGGCGUAAAGAGCGUGUAGGCGGAUUAAUAAGUCAGAAGUGAAAUCCAGUAGCUUAACUAUUGAACUGCUUUUGAAACUGUUGAUCUAGAGUGUGGGAGAGGUAGAUGGAAUUUCUGGUGUAGGGGUAAAAUCCGUAGAUAUCAGAAGGAAUACCGAUUGCGAAGGCGAUCUACUGGAACAUAACUGACGCUGAGACGCGAAAGCGUGGGGAGCAAACAGGAUUAGAUACCCUGGUAGUCCACGCCCUAAACGAUGUACACUAGUUGUUGCGAUACUAGAUAUUGCAGUAAUGCACCUAACGGAUUAAGUGUACCGCCUGGGGAGUACGGUCGCAAGAUUA
This 526-nucleotide ribosomal RNA is filed under the name uncultured bacterium. RNAcentral describes it as "bacterial SSU rRNA". It matches the Rfam family "Bacterial small subunit ribosomal RNA", at positions 353 to 896 of the family's 1533-position model. The record is from RNAcentral.